Molecule: non-coding RNA, 125 nt
Organism: Brachypodium distachyon (stiff brome)
Lineage: Eukaryota; Viridiplantae; Streptophyta; Magnoliopsida; Poales; Poaceae
Source: Rfam
AAAGUACUCCCUCCGUUGCAUAAUUCUUGUCAAAAUAUUAUAUGAAUCUAGACACUUAUUAGAAAUAAAUACAUCCAUUUUUAGACAAAAUUGAGACAAGAAUUAUGAAACGGAGAGAGUAAUUC